This 2905-nucleotide ribosomal RNA is filed under the name Klebsiella pneumoniae. RNAcentral describes it as "23S ribosomal RNA". It matches the Rfam family "Bacterial large subunit ribosomal RNA". Lineage: Bacteria; Pseudomonadati; Pseudomonadota; Gammaproteobacteria; Enterobacterales; Enterobacteriaceae. The record is from RNAcentral.
GGGUUGUGAGGUUAAGCGACUAAGCGUACACGGUGGAUGCCGGCAGUCAGAGGCGAUGAAGGACGUGCUAAUCUGCGAAAAGCGUCGGUAAGGUGAUAUGAACCGUUACAGCCGGCGAUGUCCGAAUGGGGAAACCCAGUGCAAUUCGUUGCACUAUCGUUAACUGAAUACAUAGGUUAACGAGGCGAACCGGGGGAACUGAAACAUCUAAGUACCCCGAGGAAAAGAAAUCAACCGAGAUUCCCCCAGUAGCGGCGAGCGAACGGGGAGCAGCCCAGAGUCUGAAUCAGCUUGUGUGUUAGUGGAACGGUCUGGAAAGUCCGACGGUACAGGGUGAUAGUCCCGUACACCAAAAUGCACAGGUUGUGAACUCGAAGAGUAGGGCGGGACACGUGGUAUCCUGUCUGAAUAUGGGGACCAUCCUCCAAGGCUAAAUACUCCUGACUGACCGAUAGUGAACCAGUACCGUGAGGGAAAGGCGAAAAGAACCCCGGCGAGGGGAGUGAAAAGAACCUGAAACCGUGUACGUACAAGCAGUGGGAGCACCUUCGGGUGUGACUGCGUACCUUUGUAUAAUGGGUCAGCGACUUAUAUUCUGUAGCAAGGUUAACCGUAUAGGGAGCCGCAGGGAAACCGAGUCUUAACUGGGCGUUAAGUUGCAGGGUAUAGACCCGAAACCCGGUGAUCUAGCCAUGGGCAGGUUGAAGGUUGGGUAACACUAACUGGAGGACCGAACCGACUAAUGUUGAAAAAUUAGCGGAUGACUUGUGGCUGGGGUGAAAGGCCAAUCAAACCGGGAGAUAGCUGGUUCUCCCCGAAAGCUAUUUAGGUAGCGCCUCGUGAACUCAUCUUCGGGGUAGAGCACUGUUUCGGCUAGGGGUCAUCCCGACUUACCAACCCGAUGCAAACUACGAAUACCGAAGAAUGUUAUCACGGGAGACACACGGCGGGUGCUAACGUCCGUCGUGAAGAGGAAACAACCCAGACCGCCAGCUAAGGUCCCAAAGUCAUGGUUAAGUGGGAAACGAUGUGGGAAGGCACAGACAGCCAGGAUGUUGGCUUAGAAGCAGCCAUCAUUUAAAGAAAGCGUAAUAGCUCACUGGUCGAGUCGGCCUGCGCGGAAGAUGUAACGGGGCUAAACCAUGCACCGAAGCUGCGGCAGCGACACUAUGUGUUGUUGGGUAGGGGAGCGUUCUGUAAGCCUGCGAAGGUGUGCUGUGAGGCAUGCUGGAGGUAUCAGAAGUGCGAAUGCUGACAUAAGUAACGAUAAAGCGGGUGAAAAGCCCGCUCGCCGGAAGACCAAGGGUUCCUGUCCAACGUUAAUCGGGGCAGGGUGAGUCGACCCCUAAGGCGAGGCCGAAAGGCGUAGUCGAUGGGAAACAGGUUAAUAUUCCUGUACUUGGUGUUACUGCGAAGGGGACGGAGAAGGCUAUGUUAGCCGGGCGACGGUUGUCCCGGUUUAAGCAUGUAGGCUGAUUGUCCAGGCAAAUCCGGAUAAUCAAGGCUGAGGUGUGAUGACGAGGCACUACGGUGCUGAAGUAACAAAUGCCCUGCUUCGGGAAAAGCCUCUAAGCAUCAGGUAACAUCAAAUCGUACCCCAAACCGACACAGGUGGUCAGGUAGAGAAUACCAAGGCGCUUGAGAGAACUCGGGUGAAGGAACUAGGCAAAAUGGUGCCGUAACUUCGGGAGAAGGCACGCUGGUGUGUAGGUGAAGUCCCUGCGGAUGGAGCUGAGACCAGUCGAAGAUACCAGCUGGCUGCAACUGUUUAUUAAAACACAGCACUGUGCAAACACGAAAGUGGACGUAUACGGUGUGACGCCUGCCCGGUGCCGGAAGGUUAAUUGAUGGGGUUAUCCGUAAGGAGAAGCUCUUGAUCGAAGCCCGGUAAACGGCGGCCGUAACUAUAACGGUCCUAAGGUAGCGAAAUUCCUUGUCGGGUAAGUUCCGACCUGCACGAAUGGCGUAAUGAUGGCGGGCUGUCUCCACCCGAGACUCAGUGAAAUUGAACUCGCUGUGAAGAUGCAGUGUACCCGCGGCAAGACGGAAAGACCCCGUGAACCUUUACUAUAGCUUGACACUGAACAUUGAGCCUUGAUGUGUAGGAUAGGUGGGAGGCUUUGAAGCGUGGACGCCAGUCUGCGUGGAGCCAACCUUGAAAUACCACCCUUUAAUGUUUGAUGUUCUAACGUUGGCCCCUGACCGGGGUUGCGGACAGUGUCUGGUGGGUAGUUUGACUGGGGCGGUCUCCUCCCAAAGCGUAACGGAGGAGCACGAAGGUUAGCUAAUCUGGUCGGACAUCAGGAGGUUAGUGCAAUGGCAUAAGCUAGCUUGACUGCGAGCGUGACGGCGCGAGCAGGUGCGAAAGCAGGUCAUAGUGAUCCGGUGGUUCUGAAUGGAAGGGCCAUCGCUCAACGGAUAAAAGGUACUCCGGGGAUAACAGGCUGAUACCGCCCAAGAGUUCAUAUCGACGGCGGUGUUUGGCACCUCGAUGUCGGCUCAUCACAUCCUGGGGCUGAAGUAGGUCCCAAGGGUAUGGCUGUUCGCCAUUUAAAGUGGUACGCGAGCUGGGUUUAGAACGUCGUGAGACAGUUCGGUCCCUAUCUGCCGUGGGCGCUGGAGAAUUGAGGGGGGCUGCUCCUAGUACGAGAGGACCGGAGUGGACGCAUCACUGGUGUUCGGGUUGUCAUGCCAAUGGCACUGCCCGGUAGCUAAAUGCGGAAGAGAUAAGUGCUGAAAGCAUCUAAGCACGAAACUUGCCCCGAGAUGAGUUCUCCCUGAGACUAUAAGUCUCCUGAAGGAACGUUAAAGACGAUGACGUUGAUAGGCCGGGUGUGUAAGCGCAGCGAUGCGUUGAGCUAACCGGUACUAAUGAACCGUGAGGCUUAACCUUACAACGCCGAAG